RNAcentral lists this ribosomal RNA (477 nucleotides) under uncultured bacterium. Its description in RNAcentral is "partial 16S ribosomal RNA". It matches the Rfam family "Bacterial small subunit ribosomal RNA", at positions 28 to 507 of the family's 1533-position model. The record is from RNAcentral.
GAUGAACGCUGGCGGCGUGCCUAACACAUGCAAGUCGAACGAAGCACCUUACCUGAUUCUUCGGAUGAAAGUUUGGUGACUGAGUGGCGGACGGGUGAGUAACGCGUGGGUAACCUGCCCUGUACAGGGGGAUAACAGCUGGAAACGGCUGCUAAUACCGCAUAAGCGCACGAGGAGACAUCUCCUUGUGUGAAAAACUCCGGUGGUACAGGAUGGGCCCGCGUCUGAUUAGCUGGUUGGCAGGGUAACGGCCUACCAAGGCAACGAUCAGUAGCCGGUCAGAGAGGAUGAACGGCCACAUUGGAACGGAGACACGGUCCAAACUCCUACGGGAGGCAGCAGUGGGGAAUAUUGCACAAUGGGGGAAACGCUGAUGCAGCAACGACGCGUGAGUGAAGAAGUAUUUCGGUAUGUAAAGCUCUAUCAGCAGGGAAGAUAAUGACGGUACCUGACUAAGAAGCUCCGGCUAAAUACGUG